Arabidopsis thaliana (thale cress) is the source of this 302-nucleotide long non-coding RNA. RefSeq annotates it as other RNA. The record is from RefSeq. The transcript has a single exon. Lineage: Eukaryota; Viridiplantae; Streptophyta; Magnoliopsida; Brassicales; Brassicaceae.
UACUCCAAUGGGGAUGCUCUAAUGAUUAAAUUUCUGUGUUGGGUUUCUUCCAUACAUUUAUCCUUCAUUCCUCUUACUGUAUCAUUUAAUUUCUUCAUAACUGCGGUUGUUCCUCUUCUAAGAUUUUACCAAAACAAAGAAAAGCAAACAUUCUUUAAGCAAACAUUUUCAAUGUCAAUAUUUUCGCUUGAAGUUUUUUCUUGUAGCAAAAAGUUAAAAACGCUGGAGCUUUGUGAUUUCGAAACAACGAGAAGUAAAAAAAUAACGUGCAUUUGUUUUGUGUUCUUUUCCUUGUCCUUCGU